UUUUAAAAAGCGUUAAAGUUUAACUUUCCCCAUCUUCAAUUCCAUAAAAUUAAAUGACCCCUUACUUAACAUUGAAUGACUUCAUAAUCAUAUGAAAAUCAUCAUGCCGGAACUAGUAACAAGAAUUUAACAUUCUCCAAAAUGUAAGCAUAAACUAAAAUGGAUUAUCCACUAGUGAUUAACGUAAAUGAAACUAAUACAUCAACGACCCAAGAAAAACCUGUAUGCCCGCUCCAACCGUUAACCUAACACAAGAACACUUAUGGAAAGAUUAAAAGAAAAAGAAGGAACUCGGCAAACUUUAACCCCGCCUGUUUACCAAAAACAUCGCCUCUUGAUAAAAUAUAAGAGGUCCAGCCUGCCCAGUGAAAAUUCAACGGCCGCGGUACACUGACCGUGCAAAGGUAGCAUAAUCACUCGCCCCCUAAUUAGGGGCCUGUAUCAACGGCACCACGAGGGUUAUUCUGUCUCCUUUUUCUAAUCAGUGAAACUGAUCUACCCGUGAAAAAGCGGGUAUUUAACUAUAAGACGAGAAGACCCCAUGGAGCUUCAAACCAAAAGCAAAUUAAAUCCUUAUACCACUACAGCUAUUAUAAUAUGCAUGUCGGUUUUAGGUUGGGGCAACCGCGGAGAAAAAUUUAACCUCCACAACGAAAAGACCUUAGUCUUUAUCCCAGAGCCACCGCUCUAAGAACUAGGAUACUAACAGAUAAUGAUCCAACUCAUGUAGUUGAUCAACGGACCAAGUUACCCUGGGGAUAACAGCGCAAUCUACUUUGAGAGUUCUUAUUGACAAGUGGGUUUACGACCUCGAUGUUGGAUCAGGGUAUCCUAGUGGUGCAGCCGCUACUAAAGGUUCGUUUGUUCAACGAUUAAAACC
The sequence is a ribosomal RNA, 880 nucleotides long. It matches the Rfam family "Bacterial large subunit ribosomal RNA", at positions 1239 to 2595 of the family's 2925-position model.